Molecule: long non-coding RNA, 282 nt
Filed under: Physcomitrium patens
Lineage: Eukaryota; Viridiplantae; Streptophyta; Bryopsida; Funariales; Funariaceae
Description: long non-coding RNA (PPAT_LNC011749)
Source: RNAcentral
CAAGAACCUCAAAUUUGGAUACUAAUUUAAGACCUCUUAAUCUAUUUUAUAAUUAUAAUAAUAAUUAUCAAAUCCAAUAUCUUUCCUCAAGUUUAAAUAUUCAAAAAGGAUUUAUUCCAUUAAAUGGUGGUUAACCUCAAUAUGGCCAAUAAAAUAAAGUAUGAAAUUCUUAAGAUAUACGAUAUUUAGAAAUACUAGCCGAGGAACAAGGUACUCAAUUCAUUAGAAACUAGCCUUCAUCUUCUCAAAUACAUUACAUCUUUCAUGAAAAAGUUCCUAAUA